This is a long non-coding RNA of Ictalurus furcatus (blue catfish), 1349 nucleotides long. RefSeq lists it as uncharacterized. The record is from RefSeq and is a predicted model, not a curated record. The transcript is spliced from 3 exons. Lineage: Eukaryota; Metazoa; Chordata; Actinopteri; Siluriformes; Ictaluridae.
GUGUGCCCAUCCCUCCCACUAACAUCUUGCAAAAGGGGGGCCUUGUCAAAUGUUAAUACCAUUUGAGGGGCCUUGCCCUGGAAAAGUUUGUGAACCCCUGUCUUAGGAGAUUCAGAAUCGUGACUUAAUCGUUCUGGAACACCGUGUUCGCACGCGCUCACAAAGCUGAGAAUCACACAAAUCUGAAGAUAAUCACAUCAGGAACCGCAGCUCACCGAGCUGAGAUCAUCCGAGAUCAUCCUCAGUGACAAGUCAGAUCCAAGAGUGACCUGCUACAGAGACUGUCUUUCAGAAGAAUACCUCUUCUCCAAAGUGGAUGGAUCCAUACAGAAUCUUCUUUAUGUCUGUAUAACCAGUCUGGUAGGCAGGAAAUUGGGUGCAUCUGAUACAUGUGGAAUAUGCACUGGAGUGGGCCUCAGCACGAGGGACAACUCCCCCACUCCUCAGACUCGAGGAGCCUGCUUUACUUGUAUAUCUGGAAAUGGUACACUCACAGUGAAUUCAUGGCGCACAUUCUUUGUACCCGUCAACAUGGAUGUAACAUCACCAAACUGGAAUAUACACUGGAGUGGGGCUCAGCAUGAGGCACAAUAAUCCUCCUCCACUCCUCAGUCUCAAGGAGUCUGCUUUACUUAUGUAUCUGGAAAUGGUACACUCACAGUGAAUCUAUGGCACACAUACUUGACAAGAAUUGACAUGGAUGUAACUGCACCAAACUGGGAUAUACACUGGAGUGGGGCUCAGCAUGAGGCACAAUAAUCCUCCUCCACUCCUCAGACCCAAGGAGUCUGCUUCACUAUGUGUAUCUGGAAAUACUACACCCAAGGUUGCUUCGCUGUGUGUGUAGAAAGAAAGUAUCUGUAAAAUUUUUGUUAUUUAAAUUUUUUGAAGGGUUUGUAACAGUGAGUUUAACGCUUUGUUAUAGUUUAUGACAGUUUAAUGUACUGAAAUAACUGCUUGCAAGUGCUUCAGGUUACAUAUAAGUGUAGUCACUGAUAAUAUGAUAAUUAAUUUGUCUGACUGUAAGAACUUUUUUAGCCUACUUGUUUUAUAUGACUGUUCUGUUUUUAUUAAAGGAUUAUCUUAUUUUAUUUCAUUAAAGGAUUAAAUGUGUAGAAAUUUUCUGCAAAAUGUUUUAUGUCUGUCAGGGUCGUUUAGAAGCCUGAACUGUAUUGUGACAUUGUGUAUGAAUGAAUAAAUGAUAUAAAUGUAUAAAUGGGGUGAAUGUAAGUUGCUGUGGACAACCGAGUCUGCCAAAUGGCAUAAAUGCACAUGUAAAUUGUGACAGCCCAUAUACAAAAGAAAAAAAAUAGUGAAUUGCAAAAACUGCAAAAAAUGCAGUCCUUAAA